GGAUACACCUGUUCCCAUCCCGAACACAGAAGUUAAGCACUUCAACGGCGACAAUAGUUGGGCGUGCCCCUGCGAAGAUAGCAAGCUGCUGGUUU
This 95-nucleotide ribosomal RNA is filed under the name Chlamydia trachomatis. The record is from RNAcentral. Lineage: Bacteria; Pseudomonadati; Chlamydiota; Chlamydiia; Chlamydiales; Chlamydiaceae.